RNAcentral lists this ribosomal RNA (392 nucleotides) under uncultured bacterium. Its description in RNAcentral is "partial 16S ribosomal RNA". It matches the Rfam family "Bacterial small subunit ribosomal RNA", at positions 523 to 918 of the family's 1533-position model. The record is from RNAcentral.
AUACGGAGGAUCCGAGCGUUAACCGGAUUUAUUGGGUUUAAAGGGUGCGCAGGCGGCCAUUUAAGUCAGCGGUUAAAUCGUGGGGCUCAACCCCAUUCUGCCGUUGAUACUGGGUGGCUUGAUUGCGGUCGAGGUUGGCGGAAUUCGUUGUGUAGCGGUGAAAUGCAUAGAUAUGACGAAGAACACCGAUUGCGUAGGCAGCUGACCAGAUCGCAAAUGACGCUCAUGCACGAAAGUGCGGGGAUCGAACAGGAUUAGAUACCCUGGUAGUCCGCACAGUAAACGAUGAAUACUUGUUUUCGGCGAUAUAAUGUCGGAGGCAAAGCGAAAGCGAUAAGUAUUCCACCUGGGGAGUACGCCGGCAACGGUGAAACUCAAAGGAAUUGACGGGG